This 317-nucleotide ribosomal RNA is filed under the name Bacillota bacterium. RNAcentral's name for it is "partial 23S ribosomal RNA". It matches the Rfam family "Bacterial large subunit ribosomal RNA", at positions 2609 to 2925 of the family's 2925-position model. Lineage: Bacteria; Bacillati; Bacillota. The record is from RNAcentral.
GUUCAGAACGUCGUGAGACAGUUCGGUCCCUAUCUGUUGCGGGCGUAAGAGAUUUGAAGGGAGCUGUCCUUAGUACGAGAGGACCGGGAUGGACUGACCUCUGGUGCACCAGUUGUUCUGCCAAGGGCAUAGCUGGGUAGCUACGUCGGGACGAGAUAAACGCUGAAGGCAUCUAAGCGUGAAACUCCCCCUAAGAUAAGAUCUCUCAUCCUGAAAAGGAGUAAGGCUCGUCGUAGACUAUGACGUUGAUAGGUCAGGGGUGGAAGCACAGUAAUGUGUGUAGCUGACUGAUACUAAUAAGCCGAGGGCUUGACCUA